RNAcentral lists this ribosomal RNA (702 nucleotides) under uncultured Providencia sp. Its description in RNAcentral is "bacterial SSU rRNA". It matches the Rfam family "Bacterial small subunit ribosomal RNA", at positions 801 to 1502 of the family's 1533-position model. The record is from RNAcentral. Lineage: Bacteria; Pseudomonadati; Pseudomonadota; Gammaproteobacteria; Enterobacterales; Morganellaceae.
UGUAAACGAUGUCGAUUUGGAGGUUGUUCCCUUGAGGAGUGGCUUCCGGAGCUAACGCGUUAAAUCGACCGCCUGGGGAGUACGGCCGCAAGGUUAAAACUCAAAUGAAUUGACGGGGGCCCGCACAAGCGGUGGAGCAUGUGGUUUAAUUCGAUGCAACGCGAAGAACCUUACCUACUCUUGACAUCCAGAGAAUUUAGCAGAGAUGCUUUAGUGCCUUCGGGAACUCUGAGACAGGUGCUGCAUGGCUGUCGUCAGCUCGUGUUGUGAAAUGUUGGGUUAAGUCCCGCAACGAGCGCAACCCUUAUCCUUUGUUGCCAGCACAUUAUGGUGGGAACUCAAAGGAGACUGCCGGUGAUAAACCGGAGGAGGGUGGGGAUGACGUCAAGUCAUCAUGGCCCUUACGAGUAGGGCUACACAUGUGCUACAAUGGCGUAUACAAAGAGAAGCGACCUCGCGAGAGCAAGCGGAACUCAUAAAGUACGUCGUAGUCCGGAUUGGAGUCUGCAACUCGACUCCAUGAAGUCGGAAUCGCUAGUAAUCGUAGAUCAGAAUGCUACGGUGAAUACGUUCCCGGGCCUUGUACACACCGCCCGUCACACCAUGGGAGUGGGUUGCAAAAGAAGUAGGUAGCUUAACCUUCGGGAGGGCGCUUACCACUUUGUGAUUCAUGACUGGGGUGAAGUCGUAACAAGGUAACCA